Non-coding RNA from Ficedula albicollis (Collared flycatcher), 897 nucleotides. The record is from the annotation of a RefSeq genome assembly. NCBI's taxonomy places the organism in Eukaryota, Metazoa, Chordata, Aves, Passeriformes, Muscicapidae.
GCCCCAUCAUUCUGGGGACGCUGAGCUGGUGGGAUUGCACCAUGGCCUGGGCCCCUCUUCUCCUCGUGGUGCUCGCCCAUGGCACAGGUUCCCUGGUCCAGGCAGCGCUGACUCAGCCACCCGAGUUGUCGGCCAAGGUGGGAGACACGGUCCAAAUCACCUGCACCGGUAGCAGCUACAGCUAUGGCUGGUACCAGCAGAAGGUCCCUGGCAGUGCCCCUGUCACUGUGAUCUACAGCAAUAGCAAUAGACCCUCGGGCAUCCCUUCGCGAUUCUCCGGAUCCAAAUCCGGCUCCACGGGCACCUUAACCAUCACUGGGGUCCAAGCCGAGGACGAGGCUGUCUAUUUCUGUGGUAGCUAUGACAGCAGCACGGGCACAGAUGUAUUCGGGGCCGGGACGACGUUGACCGUGAAAGACCAGCCCACGGUCGCUCCCACCGUCCAUCUCUUCGCGCCGUCUGCCCAGGAGAUGGAGACAGGCAAAGCCACCCUGGUGUGUCUGAUGGAGAACUUCUACCCCAGCCGUGUGACAGUGGAAUGGGUGGCUGACGGCAACACCAUCACCUCUGGUGUGGAGACCAGCCAGCCCCAGCGGCAGAGCCCCAGCCACUACAUGGCCAGCAGUUACCUGUCGUUGGAUGCCAGCAAAUGGCAGAGUUACAAUUCUGUCUCGUGCAAGGUCAGGCACGAGGCUGGAAAUGUGGAGAAGACCGUGAACAGAUCCGAGUGCUUCUAACCCACCCCGCUGGCCCUUUGCUGGCUCCCUCCCUCCUCCCCACUCCUGGGAACAGCGGCUCCCCUGCCGCAGAUGUCUCUGUCCAUGUCUGCCUGUCCCCUGCUCCUGUCCCCCACUGUGAGUGUCACACAAAUAAACACCGACACUGAACUAGCGCUGG